GACGGGACCGCACAAGCGGUGGAUGAUGUGGAUUAAUUCGAUGCAACGCGAAAACCUUACCUACCCUUGACAUGUCCGGAAUCCUGCAGAGAUGCGGGAGUGCCCGAAAGGGAAUCGGAACACAGGUGCUGCAUGGCUGUCGUCAGCUCGUGUCGUGAGAUGUUGGGUUAAGUCCCGCAACGAGCGCAACCCUUAUCAUUAGUUGCUACGCAAGGGCACUCUAAUGAGACUGCCGGUGACAAACCGGAGGAAGGUGGGGAUGACGUCAAGUCCUCAUGGCCCUUAUGGGUAGGGCUUCACACGUCAUACAAUGGUCGGUACAGAGGGUUGCCAAGCCGCGAGGUGGAGCCAAUCCCUUAAAGCCGAUCGUAGUCCGGAUCGUAGUCUGCAACUCGACUACGUGAAGUCGGAAUCGCUAGUAAUCGCAGAUCAGCAUACUGCGGUGAAUACGUUCCCGGGUCUU
RNAcentral lists this ribosomal RNA (463 nucleotides) under uncultured Thiobacillus sp. RNAcentral describes it as "bacterial SSU rRNA". It matches the Rfam family "Bacterial small subunit ribosomal RNA", at positions 917 to 1381 of the family's 1533-position model. The record is from RNAcentral. Lineage: Bacteria; Pseudomonadati; Pseudomonadota; Betaproteobacteria; Nitrosomonadales; Thiobacillaceae.